This 413-nucleotide unclassified non-coding RNA is filed under the name soil metagenome. RNAcentral's name for it is "partial contains 5.8S ribosomal RNA, internal transcribed spacer 2, and large subunit ribosomal RNA". The stretch from base 1 to 120 matches the Rfam family "5.8S ribosomal RNA", at positions 35 to 154 of the family's 154-position model. The record is from RNAcentral.
GAUGAAGAACGUAGCGAAAUGCGAUAAGUAAUGUGAAUUGCAGAAUUCAGUGAAUCAUCGAAUCUUUGAACGCACCUUGCGCUCUUUGGUAUUCCGAAGAGCAUGCCUGUUUGAGUGUCAUGAAAAUAUCAACCUUGACUUGGGUUUUGUGCUCUAGUCUCGGCUUGGAAUUGGGUGCUUGCCGCUUUUACGAGCGGCUCACCUUAAAUGUAUUAGCUGGAUCUGUCUUUGAGACUUGGUUUGACUUGGCGUAAUAAGUAUUUCGCUAAGGACAUUCUUCGGAGUGGCCUCGUUUCUAGGACGCUUGUCCGCUUUCCAAUACAAGUUCCACCUCGUGGACAUGACUUUUUAUUAUCUGGACUCAAAUCAGGUAGGACUACCCGCUGAACUUAAGCAUAUCAAUAAGCGGAGGA